RNAcentral lists this long non-coding RNA (729 nucleotides) under Mytilus galloprovincialis (Mediterranean mussel). The record is from RNAcentral. Lineage: Eukaryota; Metazoa; Mollusca; Bivalvia; Mytilida; Mytilidae.
GAGUAAUCGAAAAGUAUUUUGAUACAAAUCCAUUUGUUUUAAUACACGUAGUAGCAUUGUAUAAUAGCCUUUUAUCCAUGGUCUAAAUUCAUCGCCAAAUUCAAAUUUCUCCAAUACAAAAUCUAUCGAUUCCCAUUCAACCCUAUCGAACGCUUUUUGUUAAUCCAAAAAUAAUAUAAUCCCUUCUUCAUUUUCGUUGUCAAUAUAUUCUAUGAUGUCCUGAAACAUUCAGUUAGCCUCGCUUAUAUUUCUACUUUUAACAAACCCUUUCUGAUCGGUAUGAAUAAUUUUAGGCAGUACUAUCUUAAGUCUUUCAGGUAGAAUCUUUGCAAUAAUUUUGUAAUCACAAUUUAGUUGAGUUAACGGUCUCCAAUUUUUCAUAUUUUUCCUUUCUCCUCCUUUAUAUAGUAAGGUUAUGUUGAGAGUUACUCAAAAUAGUAUAAUUCAAAAUUUCUUGUAGUAAACUAAAGAAAUCGUUUUUUAUUAUGUCCCAGUAUAAAACAUAAAAUUCUGAUAUUAUACCAUCUUCGUCAGGUGAUUUGUUCUGUUUGAGUAAUUUUAGUACCUUUUCUUCUUCACAUAUAUUUAUAUCUCUAUCUAACAGUUCUUUAUCUUCCCUACUUACCUUAAAUUGGUCACUCUUAUAUCAUCACGCUUGAUCAGAAAUGAAUAUGAUAUAAAUUAAGUUGGUUUAUGGUUUGGUUGUAUAAUAACUGCCUACAACCUAUA